GAUGAACGCUAGCGGGAGGCCUAACACAUGCAAGCCGAGCGGUAGAGUUUCUUCGGAAACUUGAGAGCGGCGCACGGGUGCGUAACACGUGUGCAACCUACCUUUAUCUGGGGGAUAGCCUUUCGAAAGGAAGAUUAAUACCCCAUAAUAUAAUGAUUGGCAUCAAUUAUUAUUGAAAACUCCGGUGGAUAGAGAUGGGCACGCGCAAGAUUAGAUAGUUGGUGAGGUAACGGCUCACCAAGUCAAUGAUCUUUAGGGGUCCUGAGAGGGAGAUCCCCCAAACUGGUACUGGGACACGGACCAGACUCCUACGGGAGGCAGCAGUGAGGAAUAUUGGACAAUGGGUGAGAGCCUGAUCCAGCCAUCCCGCGUGAAGGAUGACGGUCCUAUGGAUUGUAAACUUCUUUUGUACAGGGAUAAACCUACCCUCGUGAGGGUAGCUGAAGGUACUGUACGAAUAAGCACCGGCUAACUCCGUG
RNAcentral lists this ribosomal RNA (479 nucleotides) under uncultured bacterium. RNAcentral's name for it is "partial 16S ribosomal RNA". It matches the Rfam family "Bacterial small subunit ribosomal RNA", at positions 28 to 507 of the family's 1533-position model. The record is from RNAcentral.